AACGGAACUUGACGCGAAUCAACGUCGCGACCUUUGGGAUUGUCAACCUAAUCCUCGUUCUAUGGCAGUGUCGCGAGUGGCGGCGGCUUUAAUGCCCGUUCAAAAAACACACUCGCCUAUCGCGACGUCUCCCUUUCGCUUCAGAUCCAUUUCCGGAUCUCAACCAAGCGAUUUCAACGCCGCGAGAGGGUUUUGCUUUCGGGUCCUGCGCUCUCGGGCUCGAUCGAUUCGGCGAUUCCAAAAUCCUCUCGGCAUUCUCGCCUUCCUCUCCGGUCGACGCCGGCGAUUGCUCGAAUCCGCAUUCCCGGUGCUGGAUCGAUUCGCUUUUGGUGGCGAUCAGGCGGAGCAUUCGCCUGAGACGGACUGGUUUUUCUACCUGUUACUCUUAUUGACAGCGAUUUCGGUGAUUUGGAAAGAUCCGUUUAUUCGGAUCUUCGUCGGUGUGGGAUAGCAGCGGUGAGUCGCAUUUGCUCGUCUCGUUUCGAAAUUAGAAGUCGGUCCGGUUGUUUGGGGUUUAGAGCGUGGAUUCCUGUAAACGAGCUGAAGUAGCUAGCUGUAGGUUUGGAGUAAAAUGGCUUCAAAACCUUUCACUUGGAUAGGGAAUUCGAGCUAAAGUGUUCAAUUUCAGCAAUAUUUGGAUAAAAUUCUCUCACAUGGCUCUGUAGCUGCUAUAAAGGAACUUUCUUUAUAUUGCUCCAAUAUAAAGGAACUUUGUUGCUUUGAAAUAUUGUCAUAUCUCGCAGUCAUCUGGAUCAACACUAUCCUCGUCAAGCAUUUCAUCAAGUUUUAGAUAAACUCUCGUAACUCUCUUGUGGCUGAAAAGGAGCUUUCGCAACCAUCCUCAUCAUUAUCCUUGAUACGGCGAAUUAGGUAGCAUCCUCGAAGUUGGGGUCGAAGUCAAGAAGCCGGUCAUGUGGCUCGGUCGUAUAGUCCAGCCGAUGAUUGGACCUUUUGUCUGAUUGGAUCCCGAGUCCUCCUGGCUCGAUGGAAUCCCGAGUCGUUCCAGUCCUAGUUAGAACUGAGUCCUCUCAGUCUAACUGAAUAUACUUGACGAACGGCUCAACCGAACUCCUUGUCUGAGCGGGUGCUGGCCGAGUCCUAAAGAUGGCCAUCAUUCCUUAGCCGACCCGAUCCCGUACGAGAAGAAGGUCCGACCGGACGUUAUAGGAGACUCGGUCGGCCUACCUUCAAAGUGUAUUAAUGACCCUUCAAAGGAGACUCGGUCGUAUAUUCAUUUUUGGCAUUUUGUUUAACCGUUGUAAGAGAAUCAAGGGAAUAUGCCCUGGCCAAUCAAUACGACAGAAACUUCUACCUUGCAAAGCACAGAAAUGAUGGGUCUAUUUUAGGAAAGAUUGUGGUGUGUCAAAUUGGUUGAUCUUAUUUCAGAAAUGCAUUGAUAUUCGAGAGAAAACAACAGUAUAUAAGGGGUCUCCACCUAUAAGCGUAGGUAAGCUCCAUUAUCAGAGUUCACUGUUCGUCAUUUUUGUUCUUUAUUUAUUCCUUCGCCCUUUGUCUAACUUGAACAUCGGAAUGCCUGCGCCAGGGACCCCUUCCUGGUCCAGUCACUUACGUUUUCUUCUUCUAGUUCUUCUCUUUGACACGCAGGCUCGAUCACGACACCAGGUCCCUCUUGCCCAUAGUCUUCUCGCCAUUAACCUUAACGCUACCUAGCCAGCACGCCAUCUUCCCAUAGACGAUGUUAAAUUUGAUCCUGCCUAAAAUCGGGAAAGAUGAAGCACUGGUUAGGUGGCGUCAAGGUCGUUCACGAGAAGACUCCGAGAAGGAGGGACCUGGUGUUGCGAUUGAGUCUACAUGUCAAAAAGAACUAGAAGAAGAAAACGUCAAUGACAAGGCUAGGGAGGGGUCUCGGCGUAGGCACUCUGACGCUCAAGUCAGACAAAGGGCGAAGGAAUAAAUGAAGAAUAGAAAUGAUGAACAUUGAACUCUGAUAGCGGAGCUUACCCGCGCCUGUAGGUGGAGACCCCUUAUAUACUGUUGUUUUCUCUCUGCACGAAUAUGAAUGCAUUUCCGAAAUAAAACCAACCAAUCUUACACACCAAGGUCUUUCCUCAAAUAGACCCACAAUUUCUGUGUUUUGUAGGGUAGCUUCCGCCGUACAGAUUACUCAGGGUAUAUUCCCUUGAUUCUCUGACAACGGUUAUACAAAACGCCAAAAAGGAAUAUUAGGCCGAUGGACCAUUAAUAUGCUUUGAUGGUAGGUCGGUUGAGUCCCUUAUAACGUUCGGUCAGAGCUCGUUCUUAGACGGGGUCGGGCCAGCUAAGGAAUGAUGACCAUUUUGAGGACUUGGCCUCUUUGAGGACUCAGCUCAGACAAGGAGUCUGGCAUAGCCAUUUGUCUAGUAUAUUCAUUCAGACUGAGAGGACUCGGUUCUGACUAGAACUAGGACGGCUCAAGAUUCCAUCGAGCCGGGAGGACUCGGGAUCCGAUCGAACAAAAGGUCCAAUCGGCUCGACUAUUCAGUUGAGCCUGAACCACAUGACCGUGCUAGCUCCGAGUGUUGACCCCUCCUUGAAUGUGACUGCCACAUCGGCCAACUUUCUUGGCUUCGACCCCAAAUUCGGGGACCCUGCCUUAUUCACCGUAUCAAUCCUCAACAAGCUGUCUUUGUCCCAAAUGUUUGGGAUCAUCUAUAGAUCUUCUUAUAAUUUUAUUGAGUUUUAUGGAAGGUUAAAUUGCUAGUAAUAUUCAAAUCAAAUAUUUUUUUUUCAUUAAUAACGAAUUUUUGUUUUUCACCCACUCUAUCCCUUACAUCUUUCUCUCUAAUUGAUUCAACAAUUUCAACUGUAGAAUCUAGUUCUUGCUUUUUAAUAUGUCAAUAUAAUCUCAACUUAUUUUCCUUUUAUUAUCUACGUGGCCUAUACUUAAUUGCUCUGCCAAAGGAGCAAUUUUGUUUCAUCUUUCUUGGCAUUUGAAAUACUUUCUUAAAUGUUUUAUCCCAUGAUGGUUUAAUCAUUCUCAUAAUUUUUUUAUAGUAAAUUCAAACUCUAUUGGCUGUUAGCCCUCCACUUACUCUCAUGUAUGCAAAAUUGUUUGUUAGAAUCCUCAUGUGUUGUGUGAGGCGAAUGUAAAGCUUAGGGAACCCAAUUUAAGUUAUUCAAAUCCAAUCUAAACCCAAAGUAGACCAAAUUGCAAAUAAUUUCUGAAUAAACAUAUAAUUUAGGUCAAUUAAAGUCUUAUUUAUUAUAAUACUAUACAGAAGAAUGCAGAAAUAUAACAGCUAUGUAAUAACUAUUCAAUGAUAACAACCUUCCUAUUACUAUGCCUCUGAUAUAUCAUAUGGUGUAUAAUAAAAUGAAAGCUCCAAGAGCUACUUAUAUCCAUAUGUUAUUCCUAUACUUGUUUCAGUUACAAUUGUGCUAGUUCUACUUAUAGUUGUCAGCCAAGAUUUAUUGAUACACAUGUGAAUCAAUCUAUUAUAAAUUUACCAAAUGUCCUUGAGCAAUGUUUACUAUGGGGAUGUAUUGUAUUGAUCUCACUUGUAUGCCACAAGAAUUGAUAUUCUCAUCCAAUACAAAGACAUUGUUGAAUAUGUGUGAAUGGAGAAGAGGUGGAAGAGGAUAGAAGCUCCAUUGUGAAUGGGACUUUAGUCCCACAUUGAGAGUUUCAUGGCAUAUUGGUUGGUUUAUAUUGAUUCACAUGCAUUGAGGAUGUGAACAAAUGCAUGGGGAGAGACUCCCUCUCACGCGUGGGUGUGCAAGGGGGUGCAAAUCCAGGGUUCGGAUUGCACUGAAGCAUGUUGACUCAUGUGCUGGCACGACUUGCGCGCGCCGAAUGUCGAACCGGUCGGGACAAAAUUUGCCCAAGUGGAAUAACCAACAUUUUGCCAUGUAACUUUUUGUUGCUGUGUAACGGAUGUAUUAAAGUUGAGAUUAAUGCAGAAUCAAAACGGUCGAGUAAUAAUGAGUGAAACGGCGGGUGUUUCACUGCUCGGCAAGUAAGGAGACUGCGAUCAUAAACAGAGAAAACACAACAACACAAACAGAAGCUCUCCACCUUCAUUCUCUCCUCUGUCGUGCAACUCCUGCUCAGUAGAGUGCCCGUGAUAGAAAUCGGGUGUCACUUAGUUCACCGUGACCACCAGUGCUUGGUGGGGAUCACGGUCAACUGUUGUAUCCUGGGGAAACAGAUGACCAUAGUAAGCCUCAAAGCACAACCGGAGGUGGGCGAAUCUGUUUCAAAAAAACUGCAUCAAUCGCAGGUCUCGGUUCACAGCUCAAAACUCGACCUGCCUGUUUGUUCGCCCGACCGGCCUCGCUCAGUCUACUCCUAUACCUGCUGCUCAGCCAAUCUGCCGCUCUGCAACGCAGACCUGCCUCUCUGCAACGCAGAUCUGUUUCUCUGCAACGCAGACCUGCCUGCUCUGUCGCUCUGCAACACAGAUCUGCCUCGCUCGGUCUGCUCCUAAACCUGCUGCUCAGCUAAUCUGCCGCUUUGCAACGCAGAUCUGCUAGACCUGCCGCUCUGCAACACAAACCUGCCGCUCUACAACGCAGACCUGCCGCUCUGCAACGCAGACCUGUUGCUCUGCAAUGCAAACCUAUCACUCUGUCGCUCUGCAACACAGAUUUGCCCGCUUUGUCACUCUGCAACGCAGACCUGUCGCUCUGCAACACAAACCUGUCGCUUUGUCACUCUGCAACGCAGACCUGUCACUCUGUCGCUCUGCAACGCAGACCUGUCGCUCUGCAACACAGAUCUGCCCGCUUUGUUGCUCUGCAACGCAGACUUGCCACUCUGUCGCUUGCAACACAGACCUGUCGCUUGUAACACAGACUUGUCGCUCUGCAACACAGAUCUGCCCGCUCUGUUGCUCUGCAACGCAGACCUGUCGCUCUGCAACACAGACCUGUAGCUCAGCCAACCUGCAUGCUCAGCAAUACAUACCUGCUACUUGGCUGAUCAGCUCGCUCGGCGACUCAGUUCGCUCUUCGGCACAUAACAGAAACUAGCCCCUGCUGGUAGCCUGAGAUUAUCCGCUCAGGUCAUUUCGACUGAACUGAUGACGAUCUUCCACCAUAUCUUCAAAAUCGUGGUGCAGCUGCACAGCCUGUGGCUUCUGGUGGAAAAUCUACCAUUGGUGCCCUUCCUCACUCUAGAGUACAGAAUGAUAUGGAGAUCCUAAUUUAUGAGCUUGGGCAAGAAGCCUACUGCUCUGUUCUUCGGUGUUUAAGGCCCACUCAGACGCUAUUACUCGGGCAUCCAUCAAGACAUAUAAGACGGAAAGUCUGAUUACUGAAUUGAGGAAAGAACUGAGAUUAACUAAUGAGGAACACAGAGAACUACUACGGAGAGUUAAUGCUGACAAUAGUGUCAAGCAUAUAAGCACCAUGGGCUGAUGAUGUGGCAUGGAGUUCGUAUCAGGUAGUGUUGGUGAUUGGUUAUUUUGAUGUCAAGAAGAUUGGUAUCUUCUAGUUUAGUAAGAAUAUCUUUUAAUUUGAUAAGAGUUUAAUGAGACACUUGUAUUUCCCGAUUUGCAUUAUUUUCUUUUAGUUUAUUAAGGGUUGAGUCUAUAAUAGCGAUUCAAUGUAUUGGAAUAUUUUAGUCAAUAAAAUUCCAGUUUGAUUAAUCUCUGUGUGAGAUCAUUCUUUCUUUAUGUGAGACAAUUAUCACUGCACUUCAUCAAUUUCAAUAUCAAUUCUCUGUAUAAGCUUGUCUCGGUUUGGUGCUGCAUCAAUUUGGGGUCACAACCAUAUUCCUACGGUACUGUUCAAUACUCCAUCCUACCCUUUGAUUGUGGGUUUAUGGUCCAAAUUUGGCGUUAUAUCACCUAAUUACUUGUAGAUGGAUAUUUAUAUAUACUAAAUCAGAUUCAACAAAUAUCCUAGUGAGUUAGUUCCAACUAUGCAUUUUGGCUCCAUUAUAAAUUUUCAGUACCAUAGUGAACUUUCAUAUGUGCUCAAUAUUUCCUAUAAUACUGUCACCAUUAAUCGUUUGCACUAAGUACAUACGCUGCACACAUCAAUUAUAAGAGAAAGGACAGCUGUAGAUGAUGCAAUUGACAACUUUCAGUUGAUUUCUAACCUUCAAAUUAUUAAUUAAUUGUCGUAUCUUAUUUCUUCUCUGUAUUUGGAUUUUAUUUUCUCAGAAUAUGGAGAAUCCAUCUAUCUUCUCAGUGUCGACAAUGCCAUAUACUGUCAUUUGUCUCAUUUUAUCCAAUCAAUUAUAUAACUAAUAUUGUCAUAUAGCUAUCAUGGCUCACGUUUCAUUUUCCUACAAAGUUUUUAAACUUACAUUAUGUAAGUUAUUGUUGAGAAAAUCAUGUUAUCUUUAUAUUUUUGUAUCUGUAUUUUUGUUUUUAUUUCACUUGGAAGAAUACAAUGGAGUAGUGUUAAAACAAAUAAUUUAUGGACGUAUGGGGAUGUUAAGUAAUCAAUAUCUAAUUUACUCGAGUACUAAUUAAAUUCUACGGCAUAUUUGUAUAUUUAUAAUUCAUUUAUUAAUGCAUAUAUAAUUAUAAAUAAGACUAUAUACUUGUGAGAAGCCUUAGUAGCUUGCCCAAACUUUGUUGAUUUCAAUUCUUAUAGAUUCAAAUUGUUUCUUAUAUAUAUAUAUAUAUAUUCUUGCAUGUAUAAUAGCAUAUUGUAAAUAUAAUUAGUCUUUUUUGGUUGAUCUAAGUAAAUCUUCGUUUAUAUUUAUGUGUUUGUCAUAUUUUAUGGCCAAUAUUUGAACUUUAGCUCAAAUAUUGUAAUAUCAUUUUCACUAACUUCUAGAAUGAUCUUUAUUAUUUAUGCAUAUGCAUUAAUUAAAAUCAGUAAAGUUGUUACACCAAAAGGUCACGAGUUCGAAUUCUGGAAAUAAUUUUUUGCAAAAAACAGGGUAAGACUGCGUACAAUGGAUCCUUCCCCGGGACCCUGCAUGACGGGAGCUUUGUGCACCGGACUACCUUUUUUUUUUAUUAUUAUUAAUUAAAAUCAGUACAAAAGACCGUCAUACAUUGCUUAAAAUGUAAUAGCUAUAAUAUUAAUGUAAUUUUGCACGAUGCAUGGGUUAUCCACUAGUUAACCAAAAAGCCUGAUGCAUUGUUAGGGAGUGGAGACAGGCCGGUGGAGUGCAAUCUAGCUUAGUGAAUAGUGCUCAAACUGCGCUUGAUAUGAUUUCCAGCCCCACUCUUUCAGGUUCUCAAAAAAGGAAAAAGACAUCAAACUCGGUAGCUGCUUUAUCUAUGGGAGGAUCUCUCCCUGUGCUUCACCCAUAAUCAGGUGCUAUUUCACUACAUACAUUAGCAUCAACUGCAAAACAAGGAAAUAUGGCAGGGGCCAGGGGCAAGAAGACUAAACCUAAUCCUCCUGGUUCAAUUCGAAUUGAUCGAGUUAAGAAUAUAGCAGCUGAAUCUGCUGAUGUUGCAGCAAAUGCUUCAUUGGUUGGACAGAAAGUAAUGACAAGAUGGCCUGAUGACAAUACCUUCUAUGAAGCUGUUAUAACUGACUACAAAACUCAUGAGGUUUAUUCACUGAGUAGUAUGCAUCUACUAUUUUUCUGAAAGAGCAGCAAAUAACCAAUGUGCUAAUGUCAUGCCAUCAUCAGGGUUUACAUGAUUGCUCCUGAGGAUGUAAGAUGGGUUGAUAGUGAGCUUGGUAAGUACAAACCAGGAGACUACCGUUGACCUGGUAAAAAGUCAAGCUUCAACGGUGCCGGCAGGGGAAGAAUAUCAAAGAAAGGGUGAAAGAGUACAUGCCAUCGCAAAAUUGGCUCGGGAGAAAGGGUUUCGAAAACAUUAAAAUACUAGAUAUAAAAGUUAUUGUCAAGGAUGUGGAGAGAAUUCUUGACAUUAGUCCUCCAGAUCAUCAAGAGAUUGAGAAGGCAAAGAAACUUCUUAAAGAACAUGAGCAAUCACUGGUUGAAGCAAUCGCGAAGCUUGAUAACAUGUCUGAUAGCAAAAACGAGGAAGAUGACCAAUUCUCCAUAGACGAACCAAGGAGCAAGCCAUGGUAUGGACUGACUGGCCACACGGACAAAAACAAGGAUUGCAUUUCCAAGGCAUGCUUGAAGGCCAGGGAGGUUCUGAUGGCGAUCACUUGGCCGGAGAUGGUACAACAUCCAACUAUCAUAGAGAUGACUACUAUGGGAUAUAACAUUAUGUCUGACAAUCUAUUCACCAACAAGACUACAAGGAUGAUACUGGCAUGCGAUUUCAUGCAUUAUCGAAAGUCUGAUGAGUAAAUUCAAGUGGCCAUCAAAUUAGGCAGCCUCCUUAGGAGUGGUUGGAAUACUCUGUUUGAUGAUUGAUAUAAAUUCAACUCUGAAGAAGGCUUGAUAUACUGACACCAUCAAUUCUUUCUAAAAUUCCUUUUUCCUGUCACAUUUGGAUAAUUACAUUUAAUUUAAGGGGUAAAAAACAUGACUUAUAAUUUGUCUA
Zingiber officinale is the source of this 8378-nucleotide RNA transcript. It is a transcript of the gene named protein EMSY-LIKE 2-like, with no coding region annotated. Lineage: Eukaryota; Viridiplantae; Streptophyta; Magnoliopsida; Zingiberales; Zingiberaceae. The record is from RefSeq and is a predicted model, not a curated record. The transcript is spliced from 9 exons.